UGGAGUAUAGCCAAGUGGUACGGAAUCAGUUUUUAGUACGACAUGCAAAGGUUCAAAUCCUUUUACUCCAG
RNAcentral lists this transfer RNA (71 nucleotides) under Ricinus communis (castor bean). It matches the Rfam family "tRNA". Rfam says of the family: Transfer RNA (tRNA) molecules are approximately 80 nucleotides in length. Their secondary structure includes four short double-helical elements and three loops (D, anti-codon, and T loops). Further hydrogen bonds mediate the characteristic L-shaped molecular structure. tRNAs have two regions of fundamental functional importance: the anti-codon, which is responsible for specific mRNA codon recognition, and the 3' end, to which the tRNAs corresponding amino acid is attached (by aminoacyl-tRNA synthetases). tRNAs cope with the degeneracy of the genetic code in two manners: having more than one tRNA (with a specific anti-codon) for a particular amino acid; and 'wobble' base-pairing, i.e. permitting non-standard base-pairing at the 3rd anti-codon position. The record is from Rfam by way of RNAcentral. Lineage: Eukaryota; Viridiplantae; Streptophyta; Magnoliopsida; Malpighiales; Euphorbiaceae.